CCGCCGGUCACCGGCACACACGGGGGCCACGGCUCCCGUGGGACACACGCAGUAGUCCGAGCGAGGGAAGACCUGGUGUUGAGGGGGUUCCAGCGCUGCCUGUGGCAAGGGGAACACAGGCAGGGGCCUCCCACGAAGAUAAUGGGAUGGCUGUGGAGUCAAGCAAGGACUGCUGGUAAAAAACAGCAACUGUUGAUAUUAACACACCAAGAGAAAGAAUGAGAUGUGGCUGCAGAAGAAGGGCAAGGUGAGAUAGCACAACACUGGAAAAACAUCCUUGUUGGAGUUCCUGCUGGUAAGCACAGUACAGCACAAGCACAGAACUGAGUGGCAGGAAGUGGGCAUGGACUAUAAGGUGGGGUUAAGACCACUAAAGACCCCCCAAACCCCUCUGACCCAUUUCCAGGAAGACCUGAAAAUACAGACUGUGCAUGAUAAGAAAUUUGCAUAGAAAAUGAGAAAUCCAUCUUCAGGACGGGGAAACCUAUCCAUAAAAGGGUACCCUGCAAUUUCCAUGCCAUGUGUGUAAUUUACUAGUAAAACUUUCUGAUUAUUUGCAAACCCUCCAACUUUUGACAUUCCUCUCAACCAUGAGCAUUCACGAACCUUAGGGGCUUCCUUCCCCUUAAAGGAGAGUCAUCAUGGAUUCCCCGUCCCCUUGUCCUCUUGGCCCCGUGGGACAUGACUGAAGAGGUGACAAGGGACAGACAGAUGUGUGUACCCCCCCCACCAGGGCAUGGCUCCCCCAUCACGUCCAUGCUGUGUCCCACAGUGACCAGUGGAGACAGGCGCUGGAUGAACGUGCCUUUAUCUACUGUGGCAAAAAAUAAUAGUUAUUAAAAAAACAACCAAAAUAAAGGUCUAAAGACAUAAAAAGGAGAAGGGAUGGUGUUGGAGCCACCAGACCCCACGCAGAGCAUCACAUCUGCCCGGCUCCAGCCCACCCGUCCUGGUGACCUGGCACACAGUGCCGACCCAUACCAGGGCCUCCUUACACUGGCUGUUCCCUUUGUGCUCAUCCCUGACAAGCCUCCUCCCCAUGCACACCCAUCCACGAGGAGGAGGAGAACGUCUCAAGCAAUGCAGGUGGGCUGGACGUGCCAAGGAUGGACGCCCUGGCAUUUAGUAGGAAACAGGGUAUCUGUCCAAGUUCUGUGGCAGCAGCAUGGGGAGGGAAGGGAUACAGAGAAAAAAAAAAGGGAAAAACCCAAAAACAAUCCAAAG
This is a long non-coding RNA of Prinia subflava (tawny-flanked prinia), 1224 nucleotides long. RefSeq lists it as uncharacterized. Lineage: Eukaryota; Metazoa; Chordata; Aves; Passeriformes; Cisticolidae. The transcript has 2 exons. The record is from RefSeq and is a predicted model, not a curated record.